GCCUGGCCCUAAAUCUUGAUACUUACCCUACCGAAGUAUCCGCCAGAGAACUACGAGCACAAACGCUUAAAACUCUAAGGACUUGGCGGUGCCCUAAACCCACCUAGAGGAGCCUGUUCUGUAAUCGAUGAUCCACGAUCAACCCGACCGCCCCUUGCCAAGCACAGCCUACAUACCGCCGUCGCCAGCCCACCUCGAAUGAGAGCGCAACAGUGGGCGCAACAGCACCCC
Molecule: ribosomal RNA, 231 nt
Filed under: Anas platyrhynchos (mallard)
Lineage: Eukaryota; Metazoa; Chordata; Aves; Anseriformes; Anatidae
Description: partial 12S ribosomal RNA
Source: RNAcentral